Molecule: long non-coding RNA, 489 nt
Filed under: Carica papaya (papaya)
Lineage: Eukaryota; Viridiplantae; Streptophyta; Magnoliopsida; Brassicales; Caricaceae
Description: long non-coding RNA (CPAP_LNC014668)
Source: RNAcentral
GAGGUUUAUUGUUUGGCGCCCAUACCAGACGGGGUAUGGAGACGACCCCAAAAAUUAAAUUUGUUAAGGGAAUAGUUUACAUGUAGCGGGGACCCCUAUGGAUCCCCAUGGAUACUAGUAGACUGAUGAAAAGGGAAGAACUGUCGUUUGAUAAUUGAAAUAUAAAAGUAUGACAUGUACUAUGUUACAGAAUAUGUAUGAAUUCAUGAUAUCUAUGAUGUUGUUGUUUACAUGGAUUGUUUUUAUAAAUCCCACUGAAAUAAGAGGACGGUAAAUGGUUUGAUUAUUGAUAAAUAAAUUUAUUCAAAAUUUGUACUCAAUUGGUUGUUUUUUGUUUUCUACCAAUAUUUACUUAUGUGACAAUGAUAUAAUGUUAUGUCUUUACUGGGCUAGUGUAGCUCAUUCCUUACUUAAUCAUUUCAUAUCAGGAGGACUUAGUUCCCGAGCCCGAUCCAUAAAAAGACGGCGAGUAGAUGCCUAGAUGUUUAU